UAGGGAAUCUUCCGCCCUGGCACGAAAGUCUGAACGGAGCAACGCCGCGUGAGUGAUGAAGGUUUUCGGAUCGUAAAGCUCUGUUGCCAGGGAAGAACGCUUGGGAGAGUAACUGCUCUCAAGGUGACGGUACCUGAGAAGAAAGCCCCGGCUAACUACGUGC
RNAcentral lists this ribosomal RNA (163 nucleotides) under uncultured bacterium. RNAcentral describes it as "partial 16S ribosomal RNA". It matches the Rfam family "Bacterial small subunit ribosomal RNA", at positions 355 to 508 of the family's 1533-position model. The record is from RNAcentral.